UCUGCCGUUCUUCUCUGGGCUGUCUUCUCUGGCCCUGGCUAUGGAGGUCUGAAGCUAAAGGAUCAGCCUGCUUCCUGCUCCAGGUAAGUGUGACUAGCAUGGCCCUGGAGACAGCCCCCGACCCUGGUUUUUCUCCUCUGGUGACCAUCAAAGCUGACAUCACAAUUUGAUUAACACAGUGACCUUUCAUAGGGCCAUUACCAUGAACAAGAUAAGGCAUGCCAAGCACUUAGCACAGUGCCAGAGACCCUGGAUGCCCAGUUUAGCUACUGUUAGAUUUACUAUUUACUGGGUCAGAUCUCUUCCAUUAAUGCUAUUUAGCCCCACUCCUUUGCCCUGGGGUGAGCUACUUGACCUUCUCACAUGACCUGAUGUCCUCCUAUCUUUUGAGAACAGACAAUAUAGUAUAGGACCUUUGGUUCUCUGCUUGGUGCUGGCCCAGAGUGACCUCAUCUAAGUCACUUCUGCUCCCCAAGUCUGUUUGGUCAUCUGUCAAUUGACGUACUUGUUCUAAACCAGAGCUCCCCACUAGAUUGCUGUGCCACAUUGCUGAGUCACAACUAAGUUACCUGUGUGUUGAGGGGGCAAAUCCCUCAGCCCUUGAGAUGCCUGGGUGGGUCAGGAUAGCCCCUGGCAAGGUCUCCUCUAACUGCGAGUAGCCUGUGCUAUUGACUCCAGCAUGCAGAGCAAAUAUUGCCAUUUUAUCUGUGUGCUAUAAUGUAAAAAAGGAAAAGUUGACAAGCCCUAGAAAUCAUUCUUGAUAUGCUAAUACUCUGAAUCAUCUCCUAGCUUCAAAACUUGCCUAUUCCAAGAAGUCUGCCCGCCCCCACAGCAUCAUUCAAUGAUAUUUCUUCAUCAGGGUCUUCUCAGCAGUUAUGAGCUGCAUUCGCCUGGAAUGAAUGAAUUAAUUUGUACUUCUUAAUAUGUGACCUGUGGGCUGUUUCCUGUAACAACAAUGGCAGUGACAACAACUCCUCUCACUUAUUGAGCACGUGGGUAGCAGACAGCUCACAAAGUGCUUUGCUAUUUGCUUCCACAAUAGUGUGUGAGGGAUGCGUGCACUGUUGUGUAUGCACACACGGAAAGCCUGAGACUUAGAUAGCUGGAAACAAUUGCCCAAAUAGGAAGUGGCUGAGUGAUGACUUGGAUGUGAGUCUGCCUGGCCUGACGUAGUCCGUGCUCUUAAGCAGUUAAGUAGUAUGUCUUGUGUGUGUGUGUGUGUGUGUGUGUGUCCUUCUCCCAGUUAAACUAUUGAUCUCCCAAAAGAGAUAGUGUUUUCUGCAUUCUUUCCAUCUCCCCAGAGCUCAAAAUGAUAAUAGUACGAGCUCAGUGAUUACUGUUGGGCAUGUUAGACACUUUGUUGUAAGUUAAAAGUGAAGUAUGGAAUAGCCUUCCCUGGGUCACAGACAGAAGGCACAACUGACCGCUAGUGUUGCCUGGGUGUAGGUGGGUGUGUGAAGUCUUAUUGGGACCGUGGCACAGAGGAGCCUCCCAGCCCCGCCUGCCCCAGGUGGCUUGACUGCUGUUUCAGGGUAAAACGGACUUCACUAAGGGAAGUUCAGAACUGGAGAAUUCAUAAAGUGUGUCCCUCAAGCCAGGUACCCAGCACAUGAGACUUGGUCCCCGGCUUCCCACAGCUUCUCGUACAGUCAUGUCUUCUCUCUCUUUGAGAGGGGCAAGUAAGAGCCAGUGAUUGUCAUCUAGGAUUAGUGAGUCUUGGUAGCCUGGAGUGGGGAUCACAUAGCCAAGCAGUGCUCACUUGUGACCCUGGCCUCCAGUCUACAGCCCCUGUCUCCUCUCCCAUCAGUGGGAUUACGUGCUCAACCCUUCUUCCUUCCCUCCUUCCUUGGGUUUAAUGUCCUCACCUGGCCUUCCCACUGCUUGGCUUCUAGUUGGGUCCUAUAAAGGACCUCGGACUCUUGGUUAGUUGUCUUUGAGUGGCUCUAGGAAGCCCCCAUCCCACUCUUCUUUCUCCUGAACAACCAAACCACACACAUAUGUGUGAUGUGGUUAAGAAUCAGACAGUCCUGCAUUUGACUCUCUGCUCUAACUCUGAUUAGUAUGUAACUUUGGAUAAGUUCAUCAAUAUUCGCUUAGGAAAUAUUUACUGAGUACCUACUAUGUGCCACAUACUAUUCCAGGUACUGGACAUGUGGUGAUACAGUGUGGAGUAUAAAACAGGCAGGUGCAUGCUUGUGAAGGUGGUCAGGUAAGGUCUCCUUGAGUUGAAGUCUGAAUGAUGAUAAAGAGGUAAUAUGGAGGAAGAACAUUCUAUUGAGACAGAGGAAACAACCAGUGCAAAGGCCCUGAGGCACAAAAAGGACUGACACAUUCAAUAGAUUUACAGGGUGUUGCCUUACUGGAGAAUGAAUUGCAGAUCAUCAAGAGUGGCAGUAAGGAGACCAGUGAGAAGUCUACUGUAAAGGUCCAGCCGGUCCUAGACUGGAUUGAGACCAACUACAGUAGAGACGUGGGCUGGGAGCUUGACUGUCGGAAAACUUGGAUUAUGAUCUCCAGACUUCCUCCUACCAAGAAGAGCAUGAGUUUUGAGUCGGAGAGCUCUGGGUUUCCAGGGGGUGAGUAGAAGGAGCUGUUUUCCCAUGCCCCACCCACAUGAUCCUGGAAAUGGAGAGGAACCCAAGAUGCUCUGGGUUAGGGACAGGCCUGUGUGACCUUGUGUUUUAACAAAUGGAUCACAAACAAUCCAACCCCCACCUCUCCAGCUUUCCUCACCCAGUCGGAGUUCUCCGCUCCACAUCAACGCCUCUCCCGCUGGCAAGUGGUCCCUGCCAGCUCUCACACAUCAAUUUAAGAAACAGGCUGUGGAAGUGAGCAGAGUAGCAGGCUGUGACUGGGAAGGUAGAAUAUGAGAAGGGAAGAGACGAAACAAUCUUCCCUGUUGCUCCUUUAUCUCUUCAUGGAUGCCUUUACCUUUUAUUUUUAAGUUUUAUUAAAAUAUAAUUGACAUACAAUAUUCUGAACAUAUUUAAACUAUACCAUUUGAUGAGUUUUGACAUACAUAUAUUUGAGAUAAUGAACAUAUCCAUCAUUUCCAAAAGUUUCUUUGUGCCCCUUUGAAAUCCCUCUCUCCUGCACCCCCCACCCCCAAUCCCUAGGCAACCACUAAUCUGCUUUCUGUCACUAUAGAUUCAUUUGCAUUUCCUACAAUUAUAUAAAUGGAAGCUACAAUAUGCACACAUUUUGUCUGCCUUCUUUCACUCAGCAUAAUUAUUUUGAGAUCCAUCUGUGUUGUAGU
Molecule: long non-coding RNA, 3256 nt
Organism: Cebus imitator (Panamanian white-faced capuchin)
Lineage: Eukaryota; Metazoa; Chordata; Mammalia; Primates; Cebidae
Exons: 5
Source: RefSeq, a predicted model, not a curated record